UGGAGGAAAAGGUAGGGGAUCGCAAGACCUUGCGCUUUUGGAGCGGCCGAUGUCUGAUUAGCUAGUUGGUGAGGUAAAGGCUUACCAAGGCGWCGAUCAGUAGCUGGUCUGAGAGGACGACCAGCCACACUGGGACUGAGACACGGCCCAGACUCCUACGGGAGGCAGCAGUGGGGAAUUUUGGACAAUGGGGGAAACCCUGAUCCAGCCAUGCCGCGUGAGUGAAGAAGGCCUUCGGGUUGUAAAGCUCUUUCAGCCGGAACGAAACGGUCACGGCUAAUACCUGUGAYCACUGACGGUACCGGAAGAAGAAGCACCGGCUAACUACGUGCCAGCAGCCGCGGUAAUACGUAGGGUGCGAGCGUUAAUCGGAAUUACUGGGCGUAAAGCGUGCGCAGGCGGUUUUGUAAGUCAGAUGUGAAAUCCCCGGGCUYAACCUGGGAACUGCGUUUGAAACUACCAAAGCUAGA
This 470-nucleotide ribosomal RNA is filed under the name uncultured beta proteobacterium. RNAcentral describes it as "bacterial SSU rRNA". It matches the Rfam family "Bacterial small subunit ribosomal RNA", at positions 195 to 645 of the family's 1533-position model. The record is from RNAcentral. Lineage: Bacteria; Pseudomonadati; Pseudomonadota; Betaproteobacteria.